This is a long non-coding RNA of Daphnia pulex (common water flea), 632 nucleotides long. RefSeq lists it as uncharacterized. The record is from RefSeq and is a predicted model, not a curated record. The transcript is spliced from 2 exons. NCBI's taxonomy places the organism in Eukaryota, Metazoa, Arthropoda, Branchiopoda, Diplostraca, Daphniidae.
UUAUGCUCUAUGGUGUAAUUUAUAUAUGUUUCUUGGUUGAAACUCUUUUUCACUAAUUAUUUGUUUUCUGUUACAUAGUUACAAUGAAAAUGGUAUACCUAAGUGGAGUGUUCACUUUGGGGGACGGACACCAGUCAACUCAAUUACCUUGAAGACAUGGAGCUGUCUAAGCAAAAGUGGAUGCAUCAUUGAAGAAAUUAAGGGAAAGUUUGAUUCAUCAACUUACGAGCAGUUACUUGACAAACAUGUUUGUUUGAGUAACAUAGCUUGUGAUAUUCAGCCACGAUUUUUCCUACAAGAUAAUUUCCCAGUUCAUUUAGCUCCUCGUAUUGAUCAUUGGUUUUCUAAAAACAAAUCAUUCAUUCUUCUUCGCUUACCCAAAAAUUCCCCUGAUCUCAUGCCACUUUGCCUGUUGCAUGUGUGUUAGUGUCUGAACUAAACAAGCAAGAAGUUGUCUUUUCACUGAACUUUCCUAUUGAUUUGAACCGAUGUUUACAAUCAGUAUGUCAAUCCCACGUUGAAAGUUUACUUCUUGAAAUACCAACCACCCUGAAGUAUAUUGUUGAACACAAUGAAGAGUUAAGAAAGAUGUGAAGUUUCAGGAAAUAAAAAGGAAAUUUUAAUUUCAGUUA